CCCCACUGGAUUUCAGCCUUGCAAGGGCCCUGUAACCCCCUUUUCUGGCCAAUUUAUCCUAUUUGGAACGGCUGUAUUUAUCAAUACCUGUACCUGCAUUGUAUCUAGGAAGUAACUAGCUUGCUUUUGAUUUUACAGGCUUAUAGGUGGAAGGGACUUACCUUGUCUCAGAUGAGACUUUGGACUGUGGACUUUUGAGUUAAUGCUGAAAUGAGUUAAGGCUUUGGGGGACUAUUGGGAAGGCAUGGUUGGCUUUGAAAUGUGAGGACUUGAGAUUUGGAGGGGCAGGGGUGGAAUGAUAUGGUUUGGCUGUGUCCCUACUAAAUCUCAACUUGAAUUGCAUCUCCCAGAAUUCCCAUGUGUUAUGGGACGGAGGGACCCAGGAGGAGGUAAUUGAAUCAUGGGAGCCAGUCUUUCCCAUGCUAUUCUCAUGAUAGUGAGAUCUGAUGGGUUGAUCAGGGGUUUCCACUUUUGCUUCUCCCUCAUUUUCUCUUCCCACUGCCAUGUAAGAAGUGCUUUUCACCUCCUGCCAUGAUUCUGAGGCCUUCCUAGCUGUGUGGAACUAUAAGUCCAAUUAAACCUCUUUUUCUUCCCAGUCUCAGGUAUGUCUUUAUCAGCUGCGUGAAAACAGACAAAUACAAUUAUGUUGUAUAAACAUAGCAGGCACUUAAAGUUUAUCAGGGGUGUCUGUUUUUGCUUCUUCCUCAUUUCUCUCUUGCUGCUGCCAUGUAAGAAGUGCCUUUGCCUGCUGCCAUGAUUCUGAGACCUUUCUAGCCACGUGGAACUGAAAGGAGCCCCAGGCCUCUCAAAAAGUAUGAAAGAACUGGAAUUCACCAGAUCAUCACAUCCAGACAAUGAGACACCAGGCCCCUCAUUCAUCAUGAUGGCUUCUUUACCCCUAUGGAGUUCCUGUUUUCCCUUAGAUAGUUACAUUUCUUCCCUGCUAUAUAAACCCCUAAUUUUAGUCAAUCCCGAAGACGGAUUUGAGCUUCAGCUCCCAUCUCCUUGGCUGCAGACCUGAUUAAAGCCUUCUUCCGUGGCAGUACUUGUCAUCUCAGUCAUUGACUUUCUGUGCAGCAAGCAGCAGGACCUAGAUGCAACCUGUGGUGUUUCAGUAACACGUGUAGUAACUAACAUUGUCUGACAUGCUCAUUACAUGUCUUUUUCUAAUCCCAGUUUUGCUAUCUCCUCAAUUUUCAAUUGGAGAUUAUACCGCAUGAGGUAAUCUGUUUUGUAAAAAACAAAAAGCUAUUGGACUCUAUCCACAUGUGCAUAAUUUUUCACCCUAGAAUUAGAUCUUCCAUACUUACUUGAAAUAAUCAUAUAUAUUAGUGUAAACAGCAGAUUUAAAAAGAGAUUAGGCUUAGGUUCCGUAAACAGUAAAUGGUUAAUACGAUUUUUCAAAAUUGCUUUUUACAAGUGAAUCACUGGUUCAAACAUAGGAUAAGUUAGAAAUAAACAAAAUUAUUACCCUCUGAAAGUUAACUGGUGAUUUGGGUUCAGUUCCUAGUUUCCCCUGUACUAGUGUCCAGCCUCAACAAUUAGAUUUAAUUUAGCACGGCUGAUGGGAGCCUUCUCUGAAAGGGUUGCAUAAAUGGUUUCUGGGGUCAAGUAAUAAAAAUUCCUCCUAACUCAGGGGUGAAGUGCUGCUGAAAACUGGAACUCUUGAUAAUUUUAUGACCUCAGUUCAAUUCAGUUAGAUAAAGUAAAUACUUCUGUAGCAAUCACACACAAAGUACACAGAAAUUAAUAACUGAAGAAAUACUAUUCUGAGAACAUUGACACAUAGGCACACCUCAGCUUUUUUUUUGUUUUUAGGAUGCUAUUGCCUUCAAUUUACAGUGGUAAAACUAUAACCAUGCUUACCCAAAUUUCCCUCCCCACAGGGUAGGUGCUGCAGUUUAAUUUAAUUAGGGAGAAGUGAUUCUUACUUGGGUAUUGGUAUAUUAAUGACCAUUCUUAAAAGCUACCAGGGUCAAGUAAUUCUUUGACAAAACAUACCUAUUUGUAUUUAUCAUAUUUGAACAGAGAUAACUUGGAAACACUCAAUAAGCAGAAUGGUAAAGAAAUUUCAAAUUUUUAAUAUGAAAUCAAACAUUUUUCAUUUAAGCGUGAACACCACUGUUGCUAAACAUACUCUAUGGGUUGAAUUUUCCCAGAAACACCUGGUAACUCUCUUUCCUUUCCCUUUUGCCUCUUUAAGUAGGUGUUAAUCAUUUGCCAGAUCUGUGUUCCAGCCUAUCUAUGGUUCAGAGUCAAUAUUCAUAAUACAUGGCGGUGGUGGUGGUGUGUGUGUGUAUGUGCGCACGUGCAUGUGUUUGUGAGUCUUUGUUGAUUCUACUGAGUUGAUGUUUUUUUAACAAUGUCUUUGUCCAGAAUAUGUACGUAUUAGAGUUCCUCAGAUAACCUUCUACAACUUAAAUUCAAACUGCAAUCACUCCAAACUUGCUGACCUAUUUGCAAAUCUUUACACAUAUCUUUGCAUAUCUAUUUUCUCAUUUUCUUUCUUCUCUUCUCAUACUACUAUUUUUCACUUCUCCAUAUCUAAUUUUUCUUCAGUUGUUUAUAUCUGUAUUAGGGUUUAAACCCUGAGGUUUGUUCUUUCCCAUUCUCUGAACAAAGAGAGAGAUUCAUUCAAAAUUUGGAGAAAACCCAUCACUGAAGCAGUAAACAUCUGGCUUUGGGCAGUAUUGCUACAGAGCACGAUUGUAAAACACAUACUGUUUUCUGACACUUUUUCUUUUAUUUGCUUCUUUCUUUUGUUUGUUUUUUUAGUUCCUUAAUUUAAAAAUAAAUAUGUUAAUUAUAGAAGAAAUUAAAUAUAAAAAGUAUAAGUGAGAAAAAUCAAAGUCAUCCAUAUGCUUAACUCCUAGAAAGAGCCUGUUAACUUUCUGCUAAAUUGCCUUCUGAUCUUUUUCUAGUGUACGUGAAGGCUAGUUUGUAUAUAUAUGAAUAUAUUUAAAUAAAAUGCAUUUGCAUAUACAUGUACUUAUACAUACAUUCACGUAUAUUUGCAUACUUGGGAUCAUAGUGUAUAUAUUUCUUUAUCCAAUUUCUUACUUAUUAUAUUGUGAAUAAUUCCCAUGCCAUUUAACCUUCUUUUUC
This 3105-nucleotide long non-coding RNA is filed under the name Homo sapiens (human). RNAcentral's name for it is "HSALNT0058030". The record is from RNAcentral. Lineage: Eukaryota; Metazoa; Chordata; Mammalia; Primates; Hominidae.